CCCGUGCAGUUGCACGUUGUCAGGGUAACACUGGGGGACUCCCGGCCCUCUCUCCGGAACAUUGGACACGUGGCACAGCUGGCAGAGAGGGGCCAGGGCUGAUGCCAAGAGGCUGGCACGGAGCAGUGUGGCACAGGCAUGCCUGCCCGCCUCAUUCUCACAGCCGACGAUGCUGCCAGUGGGACCUCACUCAACGCCUCUCUCUUUCAGCUGAAACGGGACCUCUGACAUUUCUCUGUUUGUCCGCUUCGUUCUUAUCGUCCUUUAUAUAUAAAUAUACUCAUUUGCUCCUUUUCUUGUCUUCAUCACGGAUGAUGGACAUGGGUAUUAACAAUGGGUUUCCUGGGUUUUUUGUUUUCUUUCUUCCCAAACCAUAAUUAUUAUUAUAUUGUUAUUGUUAUUAUUUCACAUAUGAAGGAUGACUGAGAGCUGGAUUCAGAAGUCGUUAGGGUUUGAAAGCUUCAGAAGGAGCUCGCUGGCAUCGGCUGCAGAAGCACUAUUAUGUCUGGAGGCUACAUGGCAGGAGCAGUCUGGCUGAUAAUACUCAGUAAGCCCUAAGAGGGCCCCUUUGUUUCAAAUGAAUCUGCAAAGGAGCAUGGGUAUUACUUCUUAGUCUUUCAGAGAGGGUAAGAGAGAGAAAUAGAGAGAGAGAGAGAGAGAGAGAGGUGAAAAGCGCAUUGCGUUGCAGUCAUUAUAAUUAGCCUUAAAACAUAUCUUUAAAUAUUCGAGAUUCACAUGUGCGCUGUGUUACGGACGAAUCGUGUUUGGGAGGUUCAAAGAAACAAAAGAUGAUUAUGGAUUAUAACCUUUUUGAAUGAGGGUCAAAUAUUGUAUAUAAUAGUCCUUAUGUGAGAACAAGUGAAGACCAGAAUGUGUGUACCCCAGUUCAUGACUUGAGCAGCCAAGCUGAAACCAGUGAAAAAAAAGAUUGUGUUGAAAUGUUAAUAUUUAUGCUCAUGUAACUAGUUUUGCACUUAAACACAAAUUUCAAAUCUACACAGAUGCCAUCUCUCAUGGUAAAACACCAGUGCCAACACACAAGACAGCCACAAACUUCCAGACAGUAGCUGACCAUAGAGAGCCUAGCAUCUGACUCCGAGCCAGGUCAGACCCAGAGUUGGGCCAGCUCCAGAUGACCGCUCCACAGCUCUCCACAUGGACAUGGUGCCUGCUGAAGGGUUAAAGCAGAGAUUAUCACACCAGUGGGUUUAGAAUGUUGUAGAAUGAACGUUCUAAAGAGUAUCUGGGUCCAUUGAAUAUAACAGGGAAUUUUAGAAUCUUACAUUGUUGAUAAACGCAUUCUUUACAAUGUUCAAAACUCCCCUGCUGAAGGGUUCUAAUUAGGGUAGGCGGUGAAACGGUACCAUUCAACACUUGCCAUCACUGAAAUACAAAUCUUUUAUCGUUUGGACUAAAACUGUAUCAAAACAAUUAUAUGCAGCUGAUUACAAAUAUUUUCAUCAUAUUUAAAUAGAGGCCAAGGACAAUUAGUAUUUGUUGGAUAGAAAAAGUUUCAAUAUUAUUUGAUGCUAAGGUUAUAUUAAGGUCACUUAGACUGCUCUUAGAAAUCACAAACUUUCAUUUAUGUUUGCUUUUCUGUAUUGUUUUUAUUUUGUUGUCUGCGGUCAUUUCACAAAUGUGGUUGUUGCAAUAGUGUGCCAAGCAUGGAAAAGAAGAACCUGAAAGGAAUUUCCAAGAACUGCAUCAGAUCUCGUCUGAAGAACUAGCAAGGUCCUUCACUCAGAAUCCAAUCAUGUUAUGCUCAACAUUGCUGCAUCAAAGGGGUCACACAAGAGAGAGAGAGAGAGAGAGAAAGUCAGACAGAAAGUGAGUUCUGUGCUCUUUGUAUUGGUGUAACUUGCACAUGCUGUUUCUUCAAUUCCAAACUGACCGGAUCAAACAGAACCCCAGUGGGCUACUCUCUUCUGGACAAAGGCAGUUCAUGUGUAAGGGUUAGAUGAUUAAAUGGUCGGUCGUAAGAUGUGUGGUUACACACGACCAACCAAUGGUGUUUGAUAAAUGUAGUGGCUUUCCUGUGUUGGCUCUGAUUAAAUACUCACACAGGGAUGUUAAACAGUGGGGCUAAGACUGCUCCAGGUCCAAGUCCAGUCCGAUCCUCGGGGUAGGGGUGGGGGUACAGACCUCUAAUCAACACUCUUUUUGUUGUGAGCUGUAUCUCGAGUGGCCCUUUGCAUGGAGUCACCCACAAAGAGAAUGGCCAACCACUCCUUUCAUGUUCGGAGGGGCAUGUGUGUGAGUGUGUGUGAGAGUGUGUGUGUGUGUGUGUGAGAGAAAGGUUCAGAGUGAACCCCUCAGGCACAGCAGUGCCAGUGGAGACAUAGCCUGUACCCCCCCUGCUGUGGCGUGGCAUCGCACGUGCAGACACACACACACACAUACACACACACACACUAUUCAAAUACUCCCAUCAGCUCUCCUCCACCCCAGCAGUAGACCCCAGCUGGGUAGAGUGGGGUGGACUAUUCUGUCUCCAUGAUCCGGACCAGCAAAAGCGCCAUCCACCUCUGAAAUGUAAUCACAUGUGCCAAACCUGCAGGUGGGUGGCUUCACAUUUUACCUGUCGCGACAUCACACCUGUGUUACCUGUGAUGUGCACCACUGUGCAAUAUCUGUGCGUUUGGCUCUGCCACAGGGGCUGUGAGCACAGGAGUAGAGCACUCAGUUUGGAUCGUUUGGGUCGGGCCAGGGCAGGUCAUGCAAAGGCGAGUAGCUUCUCCAUCAGGCUGGUGAUGAUGAUGAUGAUGUUGUACAGUUGUUUGUAUAGAAAAGGGAUCAGGACCAGGUUAUGUGUUCUCAGUACUCUUGAGUUUACCAGAGGAAAAAAAAAAUAGAGAACGCCCCUGUCCCCACAAAGUCCUCAUCUUCUUAAAAAUAAUAAAAGGAAAUUCACAUUUUCAAGCAAUAUGUUGUGUACAUAUGAUAAAAAAAAACACAUUUCAGAAAGGUAUACCAAGGUGCAAAAUGUUAAUUAUUUAAUAUGUUUUAAUAAUUAGACUGUGGUAUUAAAAGGGCAUGUGUUCAUUUGCAGUGUCUCCAUCCUUUGGUUUUACUUACAUAUUUGCGAUAAUAAACGGAUGUACUGUUUAUCUGAUCUUUUGCCUUCUGUGGUUUUAUUCUGUGUGAAUGGUGUUAAGAUGAAGUUAAUUGGCAAAUACAUUUAGUUUUUCCAGAAAUUAUUUCUAAUAAUAGUAAUAAAAUACUCGGAGCCUGAG
This is a long non-coding RNA of Clupea harengus (Atlantic herring), 3233 nucleotides long. Lineage: Eukaryota; Metazoa; Chordata; Actinopteri; Clupeiformes; Clupeidae. The record is from Ensembl.